RNAcentral lists this ribosomal RNA (2890 nucleotides) under Vibrio parahaemolyticus. Its description in RNAcentral is "bacterial LSU rRNA". Lineage: Bacteria; Pseudomonadati; Pseudomonadota; Gammaproteobacteria; Vibrionales; Vibrionaceae. The record is from RNAcentral.
UUAAGUGACUAAGCGUACACGGUGGAUGCCUUGGCAGUCAGAGGCGAUGAAAGACGUAGUAACUUGCGAUAAGCCCAGAUUAGGUAGUAACAACCAUUUGAGUCUGGGAUUUCUGAAUGGGGAAACCCACGUGCAUAAGCACGUAUCCUUACCUGAAUACAUARGGUAAGGAGGCGAACCGGGGGAACUGAAACAUCUAAGUACCCCGAGGAAAAGAAAUCAACCGAGAUUCCGAAAGUAGCGGCGAGCGAAAUUGGACUAGCCCUUAAGCUUUACACGCGUUAGACGAACGGUCUGGAAAGUCCGACGAUACAGGGUGAUAGUCCCGUAGUUGACGACGUGUGUUCAGUGAAAUCGAGUAGGGCGGGACACGUGAUAUCCUGUCUGAAUAUGGGGGGACCAUCCUCCAAGGCUAAAUACUACUGACUGACCGAUAGUGAACCAGUACCGUGAGGGAAAGGCGAAAAGAACCCCUGUGAGGGGAGUGAAAUAGAACCUGAAACCGUGUACGUACAAGCAGUAGGAGCAGGCUUUGUCCUGUGACUGCGUACCUUUUGUAUAAUGGGUCAGCGACUUAUAUUCAGUGGCAAGGUUAACCAUCUAGGGGAGCCGUAGGGAAACCGAGUCUUAACUGGGCGUUCAGUCUCUGGAUAUAGACCCGAAACCAGGUGAUCUAGCCAUGGGCAGGUUGAAGGUUGAGUAACAUCAACUGGAGGACCGAACCGACUAAUGUUGAAAAAUUAGCGGAUGACUUGUGGCUAGGGGUGAAAGGCCAAUCAAACCUGGAGAUAGCUGGUUCUCCCCGAAAGCUAUUUAGGUAGCGCCUCGGACGAAUACUACUGGGGGUAGAGCACUGUUAAGGCUAGGGGGUCAUCCCGACUUACCAACCCUUUGCAAACUCCGAAUACCAGUAAGUACUAUCCGGGAGACACACGGCGGGUGCUAACGUCCGUCGUGGAGAGGGAAACAACCCAGACCGCCAGCUAAGGUCCCAAAUUACUACUAAGUGGGAAACGAUGUGGGAAGGCUCAGACAGCCAGGAUGUUGGCUUAGAAGCAGCCAUCAUUUAAAGAAAGCGUAAUAGCUCACUGGUCGAGUCGGCCUGCGCGGAAGAUGUAACGGGGCUAAGUAGUAAACCGAAGCUGCGGCAAUAUACUUUUGUAUAUUGGGUAGGGGAGCGUUCUGUAAGCGGUUGAAGGUGUGUGGUAACGCAUGCUGGACGUAUCAGAAGUGCGAAUGCUGACAUGAGUAACGAUAAAGGGGGUGAAAAACCUCCUCGCCGGAAGACCAAGGGUUCCUGUCCAACGUUAAUCGGGGCAGGGUAAGUCGACCCCUAAGGCGAGGCCGAAAGGCGUAGUCGAUGGGAAACGGGUUAAUAUUCCCGUACUUCUUACAAUUGCGAUGGGGGGACGGAGAAGGCUAGGUGGGCCUGGCGACGGUUGUCCAGGUUCAAGUGCGUAGGCUUAAGAGUUAGGUAAAUCCGGCUCUUUYUAAGGCUGAGACACGACGUCGAGCACCUACGGGUGUGAAGUCAUUGAUGCCAUGCUUCCAGGAAAAGCCUCUAAGCUUCAGAUUGUAAGGAAUCGUACCCCAAACCGACACAGGUGGUCGGGUAGAGAAUACCAAGGCGCUUGAGAGAACUCGGGUGAAGGAACUAGGCAAAAUGGUACCGUAACUUCGGGAGAAGGUACGCUCUUGAUGGUGAAGUCCCUUGCGGAUGGAGCURAYGAGAGUCGCAGAUACCAGGUGGCUGCAACUGUUUAUUAAAAACACAGCACUGUGCAAAAUCGUAAGAUGACGUAUACGGUGUGACGCCUGCCCGGUGCCGGAAGGUUAAUUGAUGGGGUUAGACUUCGGUCGAAGCUCUUGAUCGAAGCCCCGGUAAACGGCGGCCGUAACUAUAACGGUCCUAAGGUAGCGAAAUUCCUUGUCGGGUAAGUUCCGACCUGCACGAAUGGCGUAAUGAUGGCCACGCUGUCUCCACCCGAGACUCAGUGAAAUUGAAAUCGCUGUGAAGAUGCAGUGUACCCGCGGCUAGACGGAAAGACCCCGUGAACCUUUACUACAGCUUGGCACUGAACAUUGACCCUACAUGUGUAGGAUAGGUGGGAGGCUUUGAAGCACGUACGCCAGUAUGUGUGGAGCCGUCCUUGAAAUACCACCCUUGUAGUGUUGAUGUUCUAACGUCGACCCCUUAUCGGGGUUGCGGACAGUGCCUGGUGGGUAGUUUGACUGGGGCGGUCUCCUCCCAAAGAGUAACGGAGGAGCACGAAGGUGGGCUAAUCACGGUUGGACAUCGUGAGGUUAGUGCAAUGGCAUAAGCCCGCUUGACUGCGAGAAUGACAAUUCGAGCAGGUGCGAAAGCAGGUCAUAGUGAUCCGGUGGUUCUGAAUGGAAGGGCCAUCGCUCAACGGAUAAAAGGUACUCCGGGGAUAACAGGCUGAUACCGCCCAAGAGUUCAUAUCGACGGCGGUGUUUGGCACCUCGAUGUCGGCUCAUCACAUCCUGGGGCUGAAGUCGGUCCCAAGGGUAUGGCUGUUCGCCAUUUAAAGUGGUACGCGAGCUGGGUUUAGAACGUCGUGAGACAGUUCGGUCCCUAUCUGCCGUGGGCGUUGGAAGAUUGAAGGGGGCUGCUCCUAGUACGAGAGGACCGGAGUGGACGAACCUCUGGUGUUCGGGUUGUGUCGCCAGACGCAUUGCCCGGUAGCUAAGUUCGGAAUCGAUAACCGCUGAAAGCAUCUAAGCGGGAAGCGAGCCCUGAGAUGAGUCUUCCCUGAUACUUUAAGUAUCCCUAAAGGGUUGUCGGAGACUACGACGUUGAUAGGUCAGGUGUGUAAGUGCUGUGAGGCAUUGAGCUAACUGAUACUAAUUGCCCGUGAGGCUUAACCAU